ACUCUCUUAAGGUAGCCAAA
Molecule: small nuclear RNA, 20 nt
Filed under: Arabidopsis thaliana (thale cress)
Lineage: Eukaryota; Viridiplantae; Streptophyta; Magnoliopsida; Brassicales; Brassicaceae
Description: snRNA_02603
Source: RNAcentral